This 253-nucleotide ribosomal RNA is filed under the name uncultured bacterium. Its description in RNAcentral is "partial 16S ribosomal RNA". It matches the Rfam family "Bacterial small subunit ribosomal RNA", at positions 524 to 776 of the family's 1533-position model. The record is from RNAcentral.
UACAGAGACUGCAAGCGUUAUUCGGAUUCACUGGGCGUAAAGGGUGCGCAGGCGGCCGAGUGUGUGAGGCGUGAAAGCCCGGGGCUUAACCCCGGAAUUGCACCUCAAACUACACGGCUAGAGCAUUGGAGAGGGUAGCAGAAUUCAUGGUGUAGCAGUGAAAUGCGUAGAUAUCAUGAGGAAUACCAGAGGCGAAGGCAGCUCUCUGGGACGGUACUGACGCUGAGACGCGAAAGCGUGGGGAGCGAACAGG